GGACGAACGCUGGCGCGUGCUUAACACAUGCAAGUCGAACGGAAAGGCCCUGCUUUUGUGGGGUGCUCGAGUGGCGAACGGGUGAGUAACACGUGAGUAACCUGCCCUUGACUUUGGGAUAACUUCAGGAAACUGGGGCUAAUACCGGAUAGGAGCUCCUGCUGCAUGGUGGGGGUUGGAAAGUUUCGGCGGUUGGGGAUGGACUCGCGGCUUAUCAGCUUGUUGGUGGGGUAGUGGCUUACCAAGGCUUUGACGGGUAGCCGGCCUGAGAGGGUGCCCGGCCACAUUGGGACUGAGAUACGGCCCAGACUCCUACGGGAGGCAGCAGUGGGGAAUAUUGCACAAUGGGCGGAAGCCUGAUGCAGCAACGCCGCGUGCGGGAUGACGGCCUUCGGGUUGUAAACCGCUUUCGCCUGUGACGAAGCGUGAGUGACGGUAAUGGGUAAAGAAGCACCGGCUAACUACGUG
RNAcentral lists this ribosomal RNA (468 nucleotides) under uncultured bacterium. RNAcentral describes it as "bacterial SSU rRNA". It matches the Rfam family "Bacterial small subunit ribosomal RNA", at positions 27 to 507 of the family's 1533-position model. The record is from RNAcentral.